CCUACGGGAGGCAGCAGUGAGGAAUAUUGGUCAAUGGGCGGAAGCCUGAACCAGCCAAGUCGCGUGAGGGAUUAAGGCCCUGCGGGUCGUAAACCUCUUUUGCCGGGGAGCAGUGGUCCGGACGCGUCCGGACCGUGAGAGUACCCGGAGAAAAAGCAUCGGCUAACUCCGUGCCAGCAGCCGCGGUAAUACGGAGGAUGCGAGCGUUAUCCGGAUUUAUUGGGUUUAAAGGGGGCGUAGAUUGGUUGUUAAGUCAGUUGUGAAAGUUUGCGGCUCAACCGUAAAAUUGCAAUUGAUACUGGCAGUCUUGAGUGCAGUUGAGGUAGGCGGAAUGCGUGGUGUAGCGGUGAAAUGCUUAGAUAGCACGAAGAACUCCGAUUGCGAAGGCAGCUUACUAAACUGCCACUGACGUUGAUGCUCGAAAGUGUGGGUAUCAAACAGGAUUAGAUACCCGGGUAGUC
RNAcentral lists this ribosomal RNA (461 nucleotides) under uncultured bacterium. RNAcentral's name for it is "partial 16S ribosomal RNA". It matches the Rfam family "Bacterial small subunit ribosomal RNA", at positions 338 to 795 of the family's 1533-position model. The record is from RNAcentral.